This is a long non-coding RNA of Triticum aestivum (bread wheat), 3230 nucleotides long. RefSeq lists it as uncharacterized. NCBI's taxonomy places the organism in Eukaryota, Viridiplantae, Streptophyta, Magnoliopsida, Poales, Poaceae. The record is from RefSeq and is a predicted model, not a curated record. The transcript is spliced from 7 exons.
AUCAAAUUGCCGCCGCCAAAGCUCAAAGUGGCAGAAACCCUAGCCCUCAGCCGCCACACCGCUGACCCCUCCUCCCUCCUCCCUCCUCCCUCACUCCUCACCGCAGCCGUCGUGCCCCUCCCCACGUAGCCCCAGGACCUCCAUCUCCUCCAUGCGUCCUCGCUGCCGCCGCAGCCUCGGCGCACCCUCUCCUUCAACCCCAUGUGAAAUCGAGCAUCCUGGCGGUGCCUUGACUGAUGCACUGUGAUGGCUAGCGCAGGUGAGCGCCACGCAUGGUGCAGCAGGCUUGGCAGGCAGCGGGCGCGGCGGUCAAGGCCAAGGGCACGUCGAGCGACGAUGACCUCAUCCGCCACCAACAACGAGGUUCCAAAAUGUAUCGAAGAUUGCCGGGGAAUUGAUUACACCAUCUGUGGAAUAUGACAUCGCCCUUUAGGAUAAAGAAGUCUAAGCCUAAAGUCAUCAUGGUUGAGGUUGAUAGUAUAUCUGCUGGUGAUAGCGGUGGAGCUGCUGAUCUUAUUGCAAGAUUCUUAUAGUUUGCAUUUGUAAUGGCAGUUAUAGCAGGAAGCUUGAAGAGCACUGUAAAUUACCUAUUUGGUACUCAACUUCAGGAAACCAACAAAUUAGCAGAUACAAGUCCGCUUGCAAUUUUUGGGAGAAUAAACAGUUCCUUUGGGUUCAUCGCUCGGUUUUGUCCCUGCUAUGCUUACUGCUCCUACAUGGCUCUUCAGGGUUAUGGAUGGAGUGCGUUAUUUCAACGGUCCUCUAUUUUUUUUUGUUGCGUGUGCCUUCAGGUCCAUCAGGUAUAAGGCGAGUUGUGUCCCUGGUAGAGGUGCAGAUCAAGGAGGUCGACAAAUGGGAUGAUGUUGGGUGACGUUCACUAAGGAGGAAAAAGGUGUAGGGGUCGUUGUUUUUUUGGCGAUGGCAGCGGCAUACUUCCUUGAGCGAAGAAAGGAAUCCCCAGCCUGAAGCUUCGCACAGAUUUUGCCUAUUCUCUGAGAUGGAUGAUGAUGAGCGGUGCAACCGAAAAUUCAGAGCUGAGCUUUACACACUUCAGUGGGAGUGGCAUGACAACACCAAGGUAGAGACCUGAAGAGAAGCACAGGGACGGACCAAGGAAACUAGAACCACGCUGUCGUGAUGUGGGCCGUGUCGUCUUCGUCCAUCUCCAUGGAGGUAUAUAUAAAUAUAUAGGUUAGGUAUAGGAAAUGAGACCAUCUCCAUGGAACUCUGACUGAUGUGUAAUGUCCUCAUAGGACCUGACCGACCAAACUAAACAUUCACUCUAUAGUUUUCAUUUUCUCACUUAUCAUCAAUACGAUUUUUUUGUUUAAAACUUAAAAGUCAAACCUGGAUUUACCGCUUGUGUCUACUCCAGUGUGUUAUAUUCUUCAGAAUGUCUUUAUGAGCAAGAACGGAUCAAUCAUAAAUUUUCAGAACGUCUCUAUUGAGUUUUUUCCUUCUAUAUCCUAUCUUCUCAGCACUUCUAGAAAGAGGUCAGACCUCCUAAUUUUUUCUUUUGUGUUCCCCAUGAUUCCGGUCCUUAUAAUUUAUCUGUUUUUGUAACAACUUUUAGCAUGUCAUAACAUUUAAUUAUGCGCUCUUAUAUUAUUAUAUUCUUACAAUCUUGUGUUUUGAAUAAUUCUUGUGACUUGAAGUCAGAACAGUUUUAAAUAUAUCCAAAGGAUGAUAAUCGUCCGUGUCAAGUUGAGUGCACGAGAAAGAUAGAGAAAAAAUAAAGGUGAAAAGGGUCUGAGUACUGUUUCCUCACUUUUCAUGAUGUGAAUGUCCUUUAAUUCUUGUUAUUUCUAUUAAAUAAAGUAAAAUAUACUCAUGUAUAUUAAGUACUUUAAUGCAUAUUUUGAAAUUUUGUGUUCUACAGUUCAAUCAAUGAGACCAAUAGUUAGUGUAGAAACAUAUUAAACAAUUAUAGAUGUUGCCUGCACAUGAGCGCGCCCAUGGAGAAUCCAAAUUGUAUUAGAGAAAGCGAAAAAUAAUAAUUCUCAUGUUUGAGGUUCAGUUUCAUACUGGUUGCAAUUUCUUAUAGAUAGGUUAUUUUGUUGUAGGAUAAAUGGAGGUAAUAAGAUCAUAUGAUACUAAUGGGCUUGCUCUAAUCCCAAAGCUCAUUAGUGUUGGGACCAUCUUGAAAAUUAUGCUUCCACCUAUUGAUUUGUGUUGCCUUAGUUUGUUUAUAAUGUAACCAGUCCAAGGGCUGACGAGUUUUCGAGCCCUAUGACCUUUUUUUAAGAUUGAGCCCUAUGACCUUUGUACACUCAGCUUACGUUCUACAAGGUUCAUGUGUCGUGCAGUGUUCUCGCUUUCCAAGCUACAGUCUUAUAUUAGUUUACAGAGGGAGAGAAGGAGUACUUGAAAAGAGAUUCUUUAUAUAUUGUUUGGUUCCAUCAGCCAUAUAACCUAAAAUAGCAAUUAGGUAUCUACACAGUGUAGUGUAACCAUUGUGCUUGCUGCAGUUUUACUUUAGUGUUGAAAUGCUUUUCUUAGUUUGUUCUAUAAUACGAAAUAUUUUUUUCCAGCCAUUGUUUUCUAAAUCCUAUCAGCAUAUUACCUGAUAUGGCCUUUGAAGUUUCUGUUUUAUAACGAGCUUUGCACUGGUCAGCUUGAGUAUGGUAUGGUUUAUUCUUUUCUGUUGCGGCUAUUCCAGAGAAGUUUAGAGCUCCACAACCUUCUGAAGACUUGAUUUACAGUAGCGGUGAUGAAACAAUCAAUCAAUUGAGAUUCAUCACAUGAUCUUUUUCUCUUGACAUUGAUGGGUAUCGAACCCAUAGAUCAACUUAUCAAUGGAUCUCUUGUCAGUGUUGAGAAGGUGUCACAAAAACUCAAGAGCAGUUUUAAUAUGGUCUCUUACCUUCUUACCUAUCAUGUGAAAAGAGAGGGUAAGAGGGACCAUGUCAAAAUUAGCCAAAACUCAAACACAGGGCAAUCAGCUAAGGAAAGAAGCUAAGAAGCAUCAGAAAAGGCUUUUAGGAUGGUAUAGCGGUUAAAUGCAUCCUAGGAUUGGUACUUUUAAGAAUUAUGGUGUGUUUUGCUCCUUUUUUGUUUACCUUAGCCACAUAGGUUAGCCUCAAUUCAUUAUUAUCCUUCUAUUUAGAGUAGGUGCAGAACUAACACUUACCUAGGUUGUGAGAGCUGAUGAUGAUGAUUCUAUUAAAACUCCUUGCUAGCUGCACCGUUUGUCUCUGUAAACAAUAUAACUAAGGGCAUAUGGUUUCCAA